This 253-nucleotide ribosomal RNA is filed under the name uncultured bacterium. Its description in RNAcentral is "partial 16S ribosomal RNA". It matches the Rfam family "Bacterial small subunit ribosomal RNA", at positions 524 to 776 of the family's 1533-position model. The record is from RNAcentral.
UACGAAGGGGGCUAGCGUUGUUCGGAUUUACUGGGCGUAAAGCGCGUGUAGGCGGGCUUGCAAGUUGGGGGUGAAAGCCCGGAGCUCAACUCCGGAAUUGCCUUCAAGACUGCAAGCCUGGACCCAUGGAGAGGCAAGUGGAAUUGCGAGUGUAGAGGUGAAAUUCGUAGAGAUUCGCAGGAACACCAGUGGCGAAGGCGACUUGCUGGACAUGUGGUGACGCUGAGACGCGAAAGAGUGGGGUGCAAACAGG